This 2188-nucleotide non-coding RNA is filed under the name Pongo abelii (Sumatran orangutan). The record is from RNAcentral. Lineage: Eukaryota; Metazoa; Chordata; Mammalia; Primates; Hominidae.
CGAGGAUCUUGCGGGAGGGGGGCGCCAGUGUUCGGGGCCGUUUUGGCGGCUAUGCGGGAUUGGCAGGAGCUGCGGUGCUCACACUUGCCUCGCGGACCGCCAUUUCACAUCCAGCAGAGGAGGCGGGGGCAGCCGCUGAGACGGUUUUUCACAAGAAAUUAUUUUAAUAGAGAUGAGGUCUCACUAUAUUGCCCAAGCUGGUCUCGAACUCCUGGGCUCAAGCGAUCUUCCUGCCUCAGCCUCCCAAAGUGCUGAGAUAACAGGUAUGAGCCACCAUGCCCUGCGAAAUUAUUGUUUUUGAGACAGGGUCUCACUCUGUCACCCAGGCUGGGGUGCAGUGACCCAAUCUCAACUCACUGCAGUCUUGACUUCCCAGGCUCAAGCAAUCCUGCCACCUCAGCCUCCUGAGUAGCUGGGACUACAGGCAUGCACCUCUACACCCAGCUAUUUUUCAUAUUUUUUUAGAGACAGGGUUUCACUAUAUUGCCCAGGCUGGUCUCGAACUCCUGAGCUCAAGUGAUCUGCCUGCCUUGGCCUCCCAAAGUUCUGGGAUUACAGGUGUGAGCCAUGGCGCCCAGCCUCAAGCUAAACUAUUUUUUGUGUCAUCCCUUUUCUUUCCUUCACUUUCAGAUAACUCAGUUUUCUUAACUACUGUAGGGCAAAUGUCUGAAUCAUUUAGUCCAGUGUUCCUCAACCAGGGGUGAUUUUUGCCUCCCUAGGGGACAUUUGGCAAAAUAUCUGGAGGCAUUUUUGAUUAUCACAUCUUACAAUGCAUAGGGCAGCCCCUACAACGCAAAGAAUUAUCAGGUCCAAAGUGUCAAUAGUGCAGGUGUUGAAAAACCCUGGCCUAGUUUAAAGUAAAUUUUUACCCAGCCCUUCAUCCAGUCUCUUGCCUUUAUGAAACCAUGAUGGAAAAGAAACUCAUUCCCUUUCAGAGGCAUUUGGAAGGCCUAAGUAAGUAUGGCAAACUUUGGAGUCAAUUGCAUCAACUAUACAAAGUCCCAAAAGGCUUUAUGCAGGUUUCUGCAAUUUCUCCAUAGAACCUUCCCGGGUACAAGGUAGGCACAUAAAUAUUUAUUGCCUAAAUGAAUAAUAAUAAAAUAAUUCUUGGCCAAAAGACAUAUUUUAUUUCUUUCUCUUUAAACCAAAGUCAGAUUUAUCGUGUGGUGAGAGAUGAAUUUCCUGAACAGAGAUCUCUCUAUUCAUUUUAACCAAUUAAUUUACUCAGUUACUCAGAGAAGCAAAACUUUUCUGAAACAACUCUUCCACUUCCAUAAGUUAGCAGUUAUAGUCUUAAGGAAGGAAUCGAUAGCCUAUAAAUUAAAGAUGAUGUUUAAGGAACAAAAAACAAAAGAAACUUUCAGAAUAGAGUAAUAUUAGAACUGAUGCCUGAGCUUUCCAGGACACUCAUUUAAAUUACAUAUCCAGAAUUGAUAUUGGAGCAUUUCCAAUGGAUUAUAUUAUAGAUAGGCAGGAGGAGACCAAACACACAUAGAGUAAGGAUAGAUAAAAUUCCCAAUUUAAAUAAUUAAGAUGCAAAAUCUCAGAAGCAAGGUAUCUAUUUGGAUCAACAUAUCUCAGGGUAGUUUCCCCUGGCCCCAAAGUUUAUUGCAUUUUAAUAUUCACAGUGUAAGUCACAUUCCAGAAAAACUCCCACUAAAAAGCUUUUUACUGAGACUGGGCAGGGUGGCUCAUGCCUGUAAUCCCAGUACUUUGAAAGACCAAGGUGAGAUUAUUGCUUGAGCCCAGAAGUUUGAGACCAGCUUGGGCAACAUAGUGAGACCUUGUCUCUACAAAAAAUUAAACAUUAGCCAGGCGUGGUGAUGUAUGCCUGUAGUCCCACUUACUCAGGAGGCUGAGGCAGGAGGAUCGCUGGAGCCUAGGAAGUUGAAGCUGCAGUGAGCCGUGAUCACCACUGCACUCCAGCCUGGGUCACAGAGCAAGACCCUGUCUCAAAAAACACACACAGAAAACUUCGUUAUUGACACUGGAUUCUCCUAGAUUUUGCUUUAUUUUACAUUCUCAUUCCAGAGGCCAGAAAAGACUACUUAUUCUCAGAUGUGUAAAUAUAGAUAAGUCCUUCUGUUUCUUCAUUUUCUCAAUAAAAUGUAUUUUUCCAAUUUUGAAAGUUUUAAAUGCAUAGCAUGGAAAAUAUGGAAGACAAUAAAGAAAAAUAUAGAACAUUCAG